ACAAGAAAUAUCACAAUAUGCAGGAUAAGCCACUAAACCCAGAAGUUAAAGAUCAUUAAGAUUUUUUAUUCCAGGCCCUGAACUCUGGAAAUGGAUUAUCCAGUGGUACCCACCUUCCCUUGCAGUCCAGGAAUAAAUGUGUGACCCUGGCCUGACAGAACUUGUGUUGGACUUGGGAACAGUGACUGGAAAGAUUAUAAACCUGGUUACCAGCUCUAGCUGAAAUUACUGCCUGAGUUCAUCAAGGGAUAAGUUUGCUUGGUGAUUGAAGUUUAAAACAGAACUAUGUGGUAAGUUGAAUUGCUUCCCUUGAUUAUGAGCAGACCUGCUCUCAGGAGAUGACCUACUACUUGCUCUGCUGUCCCAUAACAAUCUUCUGCAGGGGAGGCAAGGAAUAGAGGCUGGGGAAAUAAUUUCCUC
RNAcentral lists this long non-coding RNA (420 nucleotides) under Ficedula albicollis (Collared flycatcher). Its description in RNAcentral is "lncRNA (ENSFALG00000026668.1)". Lineage: Eukaryota; Metazoa; Chordata; Aves; Passeriformes; Muscicapidae. The record is from RNAcentral.